RNAcentral lists this ribosomal RNA (495 nucleotides) under uncultured bacterium. Its description in RNAcentral is "partial 16S ribosomal RNA". It matches the Rfam family "Bacterial small subunit ribosomal RNA", at positions 28 to 507 of the family's 1533-position model. The record is from RNAcentral.
GACGAACGCUGGCGGCGUGCCUAAUACAUGCAAGUCGAGCGGAACCAUUGUAGCUUGCUCCUUUGGUUUAGCGGCGGACGGGUGAGUAACACGUGUGCAACCUGCCCUUCAGAUCGGGAUAACUCCGGGAAACCGGUUCUAAUACCGAAUAGUUUGCGGCCUCUCAUGAGGCUGCACGGAAAGACGGUUUCGGCUUUCACUGCCGGAUUGGCCCGCGGGGCAUUAGCUAGUUGGUUAGGUAACGGCUCACCAAGGCCACGAUGCGUAGCCGACCUGAGAGGGGGAUAGGCAAAACUGGGACUGAGAAACGGCCAAGAAACCAACGGGAGGAAGCAGUAGGGAAUCUGCCGAAAUGGACGAAAGACUGACGGAGAAACGCAGCGUGAGUGAAGAAGGUUUUCGGAUCGUAAAACGCUGUUGUGAGGGAAGAAAAAGUAACAAGUAACUACUGGUACAUUGACGGUACCUAACAAGAAAGCCACGGCUAACUACGUG